This 520-nucleotide ribosomal RNA is filed under the name uncultured microorganism. Its description in RNAcentral is "bacterial SSU rRNA". It matches the Rfam family "Bacterial small subunit ribosomal RNA", at positions 9 to 512 of the family's 1533-position model. The record is from RNAcentral.
GAGUUUGAUCUUGGCUCAGGAUGAACGCUAGCGACAGGCUUAACACAUGCAAGUCGAACGAAGCAUCCCUUCCGAUGAAUGGACCAGCUUGCUGGGAAAGGAAUCAAUUGGGAUGACUGAGUGGCGGACGGGUGAGUAACGCGUGGGUAACCUGCCCCAUAGAGGGGGACAACAGCUGGAAACGGCUGCUAAUACCGCAUAGCAGGAAGGAGACGCAUGUCUUUUUCUUCAAAGAUUUAUCGCUAUGGGAUGGACCCGCGUCUGAUUAGCUAGUUGGUAAGGUAACGGCCUACCAAGGCGACGAUCAGUAGCCGGCUUGAGAGAGUGGACGGCCACAUUGGGACUGAGACACGGCCCAGACUCCUACGGGGAGGCAGCAGUGGGGAAUAUUGCACAAUGGGGGGAACCCUGAUGCAGCGACGCCGCGUGGGUGAAGGAGCGUUUCGGCGCGUAAAGCCCUAUCGGCAGGGAAGAAGAUGACGGUACCUGACCAAGAAGCCCCGGCUAACUACGUGCCACG